Molecule: non-coding RNA, 153 nt
Filed under: chicken gut metagenome
Source: RNAcentral
UGUCGGUUCGCCGUGCGAUAAUAUGGAAUGGGGUGCGAUUCCCCAACAGUCCUGCUGCCGUGAUGAUUUAGUUUUUCCCCUCUAUGCCACUGAUGAAAAUCGGGAAGGCGGGGAAAAAUGCCUGAAAUCUCAGUCGGAAUACAUGCCGAUAUC